RNAcentral lists this ribosomal RNA (253 nucleotides) under uncultured bacterium. RNAcentral describes it as "partial 16S ribosomal RNA". It matches the Rfam family "Bacterial small subunit ribosomal RNA", at positions 524 to 776 of the family's 1533-position model. The record is from RNAcentral.
UACAGAGGUCUCAAGCGUUGUUCGGAUUCAUUGGGCGUAAAGGGUGCGUAGGUGGCGGGGCAAGUUUGGUGUGAAAUCCCGGGGCUCAACCCCGGAACUGCACUGAAUACUGCCUUGCUAGAGCACUGGAGAGGGAACUGGAAUUUACGGUGUAGCAGUGAAAUGCGUAGAUAUCGUAAGGAAGACCAGUGGCGAAGGCGAGUCCCUGGACAGUUGCUGACGCUGAGGCACGAAGGCUAGGGGAGCAAACGGG